RNAcentral lists this ribosomal RNA (491 nucleotides) under uncultured Lentisphaera sp. Its description in RNAcentral is "bacterial SSU rRNA". It matches the Rfam family "Bacterial small subunit ribosomal RNA", at positions 9 to 521 of the family's 1533-position model. The record is from RNAcentral. Lineage: Bacteria; Pseudomonadati; Lentisphaerota; Lentisphaeria; Lentisphaerales; Lentisphaeraceae.
GAGUUUGAUCAUGGCUCAGGACGAACGCUGGCGGCGUGGAUUAGGCAUGCAAGUCGCGCGACGGACUUCGGUUACGGAGCGGCGAACGGGUGAGUAACACGUGAGGUAUCUACCCCUUUGUUCCGGAUAAUUGGCCGAAAGGCCUUGUAAUACGGGGGAGGUUCGCGGAGAGGCAUCUUUCUGCGAACGAACGAGCAAUCGGCACAGGGAUGAUCUCGCGGCCUAUCAGGUAGUUGGUGAGGUAAUGGCUCACCAAGCCUUCGACGGGUAGCUGGUCUGAGAGGAUGGUCAGCCACAUUGGAACUGAGACACUGUCCAGACUCCUACGGGAGGCUGCAGUCGAGAAUCUUGGGCAAUGCACGAAAGUGUGACCCAGCGACGCCGCGUGAAGGAUGAAGGCCCUCCGGGUCGUAAACUUCUUUUACGGGAGAAGAAUCAAUGACGGUACCCCGUGAAUAAGCCACGGCUAACUACGUGCCAGCAGCCGCCGU